GAAUGCUGACAUAAGUAACGAUAAAGCGGGUGAAAAGCCCGCUCGCCGGAAGACCAAGGGUUCCUGUCCAACGUUAAUCGGGGCAGGGUGAGUCGACCCCUAAGGCGAGGCCGAAAGGCGUAGUCGAUGGGAAACAGGUUAAUAUUCCUGUACUUGGUGUUACUGCGAAGGGGGGACGGAGAAGGCUAUGUUGGCCGGGCGACGGUUGUCCCGGUUUAAGCGUGUAGGCUGGUUUUCCAGGCAAAUCCGGAAAAUCAAG
This 259-nucleotide ribosomal RNA is filed under the name Escherichia coli. Its description in RNAcentral is "partial 23S ribosomal RNA". It matches the Rfam family "Bacterial large subunit ribosomal RNA", at positions 1292 to 1554 of the family's 2925-position model. The record is from RNAcentral. Lineage: Bacteria; Pseudomonadati; Pseudomonadota; Gammaproteobacteria; Enterobacterales; Enterobacteriaceae.